UACGAAGGGAGCUAGCGUUGUUCGGAAUCACUGGGCGUAAAGCGCACGUAGGCGGAUGUGUCAGUCAGGGGUGAAAUCCCGGAGCUCAACUUCGGAACUGCCUUUGAUACAGCACGUCUUGAGUCCGAUAGAGGUGGGUGGAAUUCCUAGUGUAGAGGUGAAAUUCGUAGAUAUUAGGAAGAACACCGGUGGCGAAGGCGGCGAUCUGGGUCGAUACUGACGCUGAGGUGCGAAAGCGUGGGGAGCAAACAGG
Molecule: ribosomal RNA, 253 nt
Filed under: uncultured bacterium
Lineage: Bacteria
Description: partial 16S ribosomal RNA
Rfam family: Bacterial small subunit ribosomal RNA
Source: RNAcentral